This is a long non-coding RNA of Haliotis rubra (blacklip abalone), 215 nucleotides long. RefSeq lists it as uncharacterized. The record is from RefSeq and is a predicted model, not a curated record. The transcript is spliced from 3 exons. Lineage: Eukaryota; Metazoa; Mollusca; Gastropoda; Lepetellida; Haliotidae.
UGAAGAUACGUACAAUAGAUGCCGUAAACCACACCAUCGCUCUUGCUGCUAAGGAUCGCCAUGGCAUGCGGCCUGGUGUCUACAACCACGGCAACUUGACUGGAAUCACCUCACAGGGCGGCUACUUCCGGGUGAUAAACAUGCUCUCGGAAAUUGACGAGCCCGGGGAGUACUACCUCGACAGAAGAACGGGGAUUCUGUACGCGUGGCCCAAU